UAAAAAAGAAUAAAUUAAAUUAGAAGCUCUCAUAAUAUGUAUAAUACAAAUUAUAACAAGUAUCAUUAGUUAAACAAAACAAUUAAAUACAUUUUUAAUGAUAUACAAAUGUUUUAUAAUAACUCAAAUCCCUGAACUGAUUAAAGUCAAAUGUUAAUGUUACGCUCCUGAAGUACUUCUACUCUAACCUCCCUUUGCAACUACUGUGCUGAGGUGGACAAAUAUCGACAGUCAAAUAGGAACAACGGAUACAAACAAUCUAGACCUGUGAAAGAAGCUGAAAAAAAACAAAACUGGAAAAAUCUUCAACAACCAAUAAUUUUCUACAUUUAGUACUGGCUAUUUAUUAAUACAAGAGGCCAUAAAAACAACAGAAGAAGAAAUGCCUCUUUGUCUUUCUCAAAAGCGUGGAUAAAUUGUUAGAAACUCCAAGACAAUAAGAAAAAAUAAAUUGGUAUAAAAAAACCGAGGUAGACCGCCAAAAAAUGAAAGGGAUCCAGAGUAUCGAAAUAAAGAAGAUAAAAUGAUAGAGAUUCAUCAUGAGAGAAAAACAAGAUGUUUUAAUAGUAAGGAAAUGAAGGAUAAUGAAGAAAAAACGAGGAGGACAAAGAAAGAAAAACAACAUUAGAAAAAGAAAAGAAAGAAGUAGAGGAAAGAAGAAAAAGAGAAGACAGAGAGAAAAAAUAAACAAAGUGUUUGAAUACCAAAGUAAAUUAUUUAAAGAAUAUGAUACAGGUCCAGCUACUGGCACAUUAACUCUAGGUAGAAUAUCUUCAUCGAUUGGUACUAUGUGGAAAAAAAAAAUUUUUGAAUAGUGUAAACGAGAAAUUUGGAAAAUCAAAAAAAUUUAUGAAAAAAACUCACUACAAGGUACAACUACUGGUACAUCAACUCGGCCUAUAAUAAUUUCAUCGACUGGUCCCUGGCGGAUUCGAUUUGCGUAAUGUCUACUUAACUAAGUGGACUUUAGGUAGACAUUAGGUAAACAUGUAAAAAAACGUAUAGAAAAGCUAUUAAUCGACUUAUUAUGAUAAAAAAAAGUUGAUAAAAGGGUAAAUGAAUGUUUAUAGAGUAAAUUCGUACAAAAUUUGUAAUUAAUAAAGCAUUAAAUAAUUAAUAAUGAAUGGAAAUGU
Long non-coding RNA from Leptopilina boulardi, 1133 nucleotides. RefSeq lists it as uncharacterized. Lineage: Eukaryota; Metazoa; Arthropoda; Insecta; Hymenoptera; Figitidae. The transcript is spliced from 3 exons. The record is from RefSeq and is a predicted model, not a curated record.